GCCUGGGUAGUUCAGUGGUAGAACGCAUUCUUGGUAAGAAUGAGGUCGUGGGUCCGAUUCCCACCCCAGGCUCCC
RNAcentral lists this transfer RNA (75 nucleotides) under Candidatus Amesbacteria bacterium RIFCSPHIGHO2_01_FULL_47_34. Its description in RNAcentral is "tRNA-Thr". It matches the Rfam family "tRNA". From Rfam's summary of the family: Transfer RNA (tRNA) molecules are approximately 80 nucleotides in length. Their secondary structure includes four short double-helical elements and three loops (D, anti-codon, and T loops). Further hydrogen bonds mediate the characteristic L-shaped molecular structure. tRNAs have two regions of fundamental functional importance: the anti-codon, which is responsible for specific mRNA codon recognition, and the 3' end, to which the tRNAs corresponding amino acid is attached (by aminoacyl-tRNA synthetases). tRNAs cope with the degeneracy of the genetic code in two manners: having more than one tRNA (with a specific anti-codon) for a particular amino acid; and 'wobble' base-pairing, i.e. permitting non-standard base-pairing at the 3rd anti-codon position. The record is from RNAcentral. RNAcentral also lists the same sequence under 2 other names. Lineage: Bacteria; Candidatus Amesiibacteriota.